GCUCAGAGGUGUAAUCAGCGAUCAACCCCAUUCAGGAAACUGUUCUCCCAUGACAGACGGAUGAUAUAUAGAGAUUUUUCGCCCAUUUCUCCUUCACAUGUUGGCCAGGAAAAGCGGUUGUUCGAAGCGUCUCUUGAGUUUCAUCUGCAGGUUUCUUUCUAGGCACACUCAGGACAAGAGCAGUCUGGUCAGAGGUCGCAGCAGUGGCGGUUAUACGAUAACCGCUGUCCCACCUCCGAUGAACACCUUCACUGGGGUAUAAAAAGUCCAGCUCGACCACCUGAUCCGCAAAGCCUGCAUUACGGGUCAUGACGACCGCCCAUCUGCUUCCCGCGGUGGCCAUGGACGUGACAGAGAAGCCCUCCUUCCAUUUCUUACUAAUCCAUUUGAAGGGGAAGGAGUCGCUGACUUUGUACGACUGCUGUGAGUACUGUGUACCUUUGGACAUUACAACCAAAGAGCUGCCGCUGUCUGUCCCCGCUAACGCAGUUAUGUAAUAGUUCUUCUCCCAUUGCUCCAUUAUCCAUUCCUUGCGCAGAAAAGUCGGUGUGAGAUCAUAAAGUUGAGCAGUAAAACUAGUGCCAGCAUCCAUAACCAGAGCCCACAGAUUAGUGGCAGACGCAACACAGCUAAUGAAUAAACCGUCUUCGUUUCCUUUCUCAACAUGUUGAGCGAGCCUUCCGUCUGAGACAUUGAAGUGAUAUCUCUGUUUCAUAGGCUUCCUGGCAUUGUAGAUACUAAUCCACUGGGUUGCAGGCAUCCCCAUCCGGAUCUUCUUCUUUGGUUGCUCAUCCUCCUCAUCUUCCAUCAUCA
RNAcentral lists this unclassified non-coding RNA (813 nucleotides) under Hevea brasiliensis (rubber tree). Lineage: Eukaryota; Viridiplantae; Streptophyta; Magnoliopsida; Malpighiales; Euphorbiaceae. The record is from RNAcentral.